RNAcentral lists this ribosomal RNA (465 nucleotides) under Vreelandella stevensii. RNAcentral describes it as "partial 16S ribosomal RNA". It matches the Rfam family "Bacterial small subunit ribosomal RNA", at positions 338 to 795 of the family's 1533-position model. The record is from RNAcentral. Lineage: Bacteria; Pseudomonadati; Pseudomonadota; Gammaproteobacteria; Oceanospirillales; Halomonadaceae.
CCUACGGGUGGCAGCAGUGGGGAAUAUUGGACAAUGGGCGAAAGCCUGAUCCAGCCAUGCCGCGUGUGUGAAGAAGGCCUUCGGGUUGUAAAGCACUUUCAGUGGGGAAGAAAGCCUUGGGGCUAAUACCCUCGAGGAAGGACAUCACCCACAGAAGAAGCACCGGCUAACUCCGUGCCAGCAGCCGCGGUAAUACGGAGGGUGCGAGCGUUAAUCGGAAUUACUGGGCGUAAAGCGCGCGUAGGCGGUCUGAUAAGCCGGUUGUGAAAGCCCCGGGCUCAACCUGGGAACGGCAUCCGGAACUGUCAGGCUAGAGUGCAGGAGAGGAAGGUAGAAUUCCCGGUGUAGCGGUGAAAUGCGUAGAGAUCGGGAGGAAUACCAGUGGCGAAGGCAGCCUUCUGGACUGACACUGACGCUGAGGUGCGAAAGCGUGGGUAGCAAACAGGAUUAGAUACCCCGGUAGUC